AAAGCGUGCGCAGGCGGUUUUGUAAGUCUGAUGUGAAAUCCCCGGGCUCAACCUGGGAAUUGCAUUGGAGACUGCAAGGCUAGAAUCUGGCAGAGGGGGGUAGAAUUCCACGUGUAGCAGUGAAAUGCGUAGAUAUGUGGAGGAACACCGAUGGCGAAGGCAGCCCCCUGGGUCGAGAUUGACGCUCAUGCACGAAAGCGUGGGGAGCAAACAGGAUUAGAUACCCCUGU
This 230-nucleotide ribosomal RNA is filed under the name uncultured bacterium. RNAcentral describes it as "partial 16S ribosomal RNA". It matches the Rfam family "Bacterial small subunit ribosomal RNA", at positions 562 to 791 of the family's 1533-position model. The record is from RNAcentral.